UCCGUGCCAGCAGCCGCGGUANUACGGAGGGUGCAAGCGUUANUNGGAAUUACUGGGCGUAAAGCGCACGCNGGCGGUUUGUUAAGUNAGAUGUGAANUCCCCGGGNUCAACCUGGGAANUGCAUUUGAAACNGGCNAGNNGAGUNNNUAGAGGGGGGUAGAAUUCCAGGUGUAGCGGUGAANUGCGUAGAGAUCNGGAGGAAUACCGGUGGCGAAGGCGGCCCCCUGGACAAAGACUGACGNUCAGGUGCGAAAGCGUGGGGAGCAAACAGGAUUAGAUACCNUGGUAGUCCACGCUGUAAACGAUGUCGACUUGGAGGUUGUUCCCNUGAGGAGUGGCUUCCGGAGCUAACGCGUUAAGUCGACCGCCUGGGGAGUACGGCCGCAAGGUUAAAACUCAAAUGAAUUGACGGGGGCCCGCACAAGCGGUGGAGCAUGUGGUUUAAUUCGAUGCAACGCGAAGAACCUUACCUACUCUUGACAUCCAGAGAACUUAGCAGAGAUGCUUUGGUGCCUUCGGGAACUCUGAGACAGGUGCUGCAUGGCUGUCGUCAGCUCGUGUUGUGAAAUGUUGGGUUAAGUCCCGCAACGAGCGCAACCCUUAUCCUUUGUUGCCAGCGNUYCGGYCGGGAACUCAAAGGAGACUGCCAGUGAUAAACUGGAGGAAGGUGGGGAUGACGUCAAGUCAUCAUGGCCCUUACGAGUAGGGCUACACACGUGCUACAAUGGCAUAUACAAAGAGAAGCGACCUCGCGAGAGCAAGCGGACCUCAUAAAGUAUGUCGUAGUCCGGAUUGGAGUCUGCAACUCGACUCCAUGAAGUCGGAAUCGCUAGUAAUCGUAGAUCAGAAUGCUACGGUGAAUACGUUCCCGGGCCUUGUACACACCGCCCGUCACACCAUGGGAGUGGGUUGCAAAAGAAGUAGGUAGCUUAACCUUCGGGAGGGC
RNAcentral lists this ribosomal RNA (947 nucleotides) under Klebsiella planticola. Its description in RNAcentral is "Raoultella planticola partial 16S ribosomal RNA". Lineage: Bacteria; Pseudomonadati; Pseudomonadota; Gammaproteobacteria; Enterobacterales; Enterobacteriaceae. The record is from RNAcentral.